UUAAAUUGAAGAGUUUGAUCAUGGCUCAGAUUGAACGCUGGCGGCAGGCCUAACACAUGCAAGUCGAACGGUAACAGGAAACAGCUUGCUGUUUCGCUGACGAGUGGCGGACGGGUGAGUAAUGUCUGGGAAACUGCCUGAUGGAGGGGGAUAACUACUGGAAACGGUAGCUAAUACCGCAUAACGUCGCAAGACCAAAGAGGGGGACCUUCGGGGCUCUU
This 221-nucleotide ribosomal RNA is filed under the name Escherichia coli. RNAcentral's name for it is "partial 16S ribosomal RNA". It matches the Rfam family "Bacterial small subunit ribosomal RNA", at positions 1 to 218 of the family's 1533-position model. The record is from RNAcentral. Lineage: Bacteria; Pseudomonadati; Pseudomonadota; Gammaproteobacteria; Enterobacterales; Enterobacteriaceae.